This 19-nucleotide non-coding RNA is filed under the name Arabidopsis thaliana (thale cress). The record is from RNAcentral. RNAcentral also lists the same sequence under 1 other name. Lineage: Eukaryota; Viridiplantae; Streptophyta; Magnoliopsida; Brassicales; Brassicaceae.
GUGCUCUGAAUGUCAAAGU